This is an RNA transcript of Oncorhynchus keta (chum salmon), 1480 nucleotides long. It is a transcript of the gene named epithelial-stromal interaction protein 1-like, with no coding region annotated. The transcript is spliced from 7 exons. The record is from RefSeq and is a predicted model, not a curated record. NCBI's taxonomy places the organism in Eukaryota, Metazoa, Chordata, Actinopteri, Salmoniformes, Salmonidae.
AUUCUUGCCUAACAUUGAUUAUGAAAAAGGUUGAAUUAGGCUAUUACUGUUAUAUAUAUAUAUAUUACGAUUAUGCUUCCGUUGUAAAAAUAAAAAGAUUAUGAUAAACUUUCAUAACGCGUUGGGCUGUUCAAUAGGGCGGCGCACAAUUGUCCCAGUGACGUCCCGGUUAGGGGAGGGUUUGGCAGGGGAAGGCCGUCUUUUUAAAAUUCGAAUUUGUUCUUAACUGACUUGCCUAGUUAAAUAAAGGUUCAAUAAAAAAAUAAAAAAUAAACAUCUAUGGGUGAUGCUCGUUUUUGGAUAGAGAAGUUCCCAAUACACUUGUUGUUAUUUUAUUUUUUUCUUCAUUUUUUGUAAUUAUUUGUUAGUGUUUUCUUGUAUUUUUUUUUUUUUUCAAUACACGUGUUUGCCACAGGGGACGUCCAAUAACUACACCGGUGUUUUACUGAUAAGGCAAGUCGGUAGGAUAUAGGCUGUAAUGGACUACCAGGGGUAUUAGAGGAAUAAUAUAAUAAAUUAUACAAAUUCAGGAGCUAAUCAGAGAACAGUAGACAGUUGGAAAAUAAUGAAUGGCACGGACCCGGCGAUGCCAAUGCUAACCCACCUGACAACGCAAACACAGCAGGAUAAAACUCAGCCUCGACAUUCAGAUGGGUUCACCAUGAUAUCACCCAUUGAAUCGCGACGGAGUAAACUACACAUGAUGGUUCAGAAAGAAGAGGAGAACAUACAGAGAAGCGAGGCAGUACUGUGAGGCCAGGGAGAGGCACCUGGUGGAGUUAAGCCAGGCUAAACUGCAGAAACAGCUGAGAAAAGAGGAGAUGAACCGGCAACGGAGACAGGCAGAGGAAAAGGAGUAUGAGAGGAUGAAGGCUAAACAGCAGGAGAACGUCAGAGAGUGUUAGCAAUAGGACAGAGCAGCUCGUUCAGAGGGUGGAGAGGUCAGACGCAGCUCCAGUGGCAUCGACUAGUGCCUCACACACAUCACCCUUGGUGUUGUGUCAUGGUGAUGCUGCAGACAGAGGAGAGCAGAAAAGAAGGGCCCCAGGGCAGGGUUUGAGUAUGUGUUGUUAGGGAGGGGUUUCAUACUGUACCGACCGACAACGGUAUUAUGUGGCAACCAGUGGUGUAAAGUACUUUAGUAAAAAUACUUGAAAGUACUACUUAAGUAGGUUUUUGGGGUAUCUGUACUUUACUAUUUAUAUAUUUGACAAGUUUUACUUCACUACAUUCCUAAAGAAAAUAAUCUACUUUUUACAUCAUACAUUUUCCCUGACACUCAAAAGUACUCGUUACAUGUUGACAGUUUAGCAGGACAGGAAAAUGGUAUAAUUCACACACUUAUCAAGAGAACAUCCCUGGCUAUCUCUACUGCCCCUGAUCUGGCGGACUCACUAAACACAUGCUUCAUUUGUAAAUGAUGACUGAAUGUUGGAGUGUGCCCCUGGCUAUCCAUAAAUAAAUACAAUUUAAAAAUGUU